GGCGCACGGGUGCGUAAGCGCGUAUGCAACCUACCUUAAUCAGGGGGAUAGCCCGAAGAAAUUCGGAUUAACACCGCAUAAAAUCACAGUAUAGCAUUAUACAAUGAUCAAAUAUUUAUAGGAUUAAGAUGGGCAUGCGUGACAUUAGUUAGUUGGCGAGGUAACGGCUCACCAAGACCACGAUGUCUAGGGGAUCUGAGAGGAUGACCCCCCACACUGGUACUGAGACACGGACCAGACUCCUACGGGAGGCAACAGUAAGGAAUAUUGGUCAAUGGAGGCAACUCUGAACCAGCCAUGCCGCGUGCAGGAAGACAGCCCUCUGGGUCGUAAACUGCUUUUAUUCGGGAAUAAACCUAUCUACGUGUAGAUAGCUGAAUGUACCGAAGGAAUAAGGAUCGGCUAACUCCGUGCCAGCCGCCGCGG
RNAcentral lists this ribosomal RNA (426 nucleotides) under uncultured bacterium. Its description in RNAcentral is "bacterial SSU rRNA". It matches the Rfam family "Bacterial small subunit ribosomal RNA", at positions 97 to 520 of the family's 1533-position model. The record is from RNAcentral.